Molecule: long non-coding RNA, 204 nt
Organism: Puntigrus tetrazona (Sumatra barb)
Lineage: Eukaryota; Metazoa; Chordata; Actinopteri; Cypriniformes; Cyprinidae
Exons: 2
Source: RefSeq, a predicted model, not a curated record
CCAUGGUAUAAUGACAACACACGCACCCUAAAGAGAGCAGCCCGGAAAAUGGAGCACAGAGGUCAGUGUUACAGCAAGAAGAAGAUGUCUUUAUGAAGCCCAAGUUCAUGGACCCACUUUUACAGUCAGCUGUACAAUUUUUAAAUUUCUGUUUAAAAGUUGUUUCACCUACAAAUAUAAAUAAAACAGAAAAGACCUGUUCAA